AGUGAACGCUGGCGGUAGGCCUAACACAUGCAAGUCGAACGGCAGCACAGUAAGAGCUUGCUCUUACGGGUGGCGAGUGGCGGACGGGUGAGGAAUACAUCGGAAUCUACUUUUUCGUGGGGGAUAACGUAGGGAAACUUACGCUAAUACCGCAUACGACCUACGGGUGAAAGCAGGGGAUCUUCGGACCUUGCGCGAUUGAAUGAGCCGAUGUCGGAUUAGCUAGUUGGCGGGGUAAAGGCCCACCAAGGCGACGAUCCGUAGCUGGUCUGAGAGGAUGAUCAGCCACACUGGAACUGAGACACGGUCCAGACUCCUACGGGAGGCAGCAGUGGGGAAUAUUGGACAAUGGGCGCAAGCCUGAUCCAGCCAUACCGCGUGGGUGAAGAAGGCCUUCGGGUUGUAAAGCCCUUUCGUUGGGAAAGAAAAGCAGCAGGUUAAUACCCCGCUGUCCUGACGGUACCCAAAGAAUAAGCACCGGCUAACUUCGUG
Molecule: ribosomal RNA, 492 nt
Filed under: uncultured bacterium
Lineage: Bacteria
Description: partial 16S ribosomal RNA
Rfam family: Bacterial small subunit ribosomal RNA
Source: RNAcentral